GCUUUGGUGGCCCAGCUGGUUAAGGCGUCAGUCUCAUAAUCUGAAGAUCGCGAGUUCGAAUCUCGCCUAGAGCA
Molecule: transfer RNA, 74 nt
Organism: Pichia membranifaciens NRRL Y-2026
Lineage: Eukaryota; Fungi; Ascomycota; Pichiomycetes; Pichiales; Pichiaceae
Rfam family: tRNA
About the family: Transfer RNA (tRNA) molecules are approximately 80 nucleotides in length.
Source: Rfam